ACAACCGUCAACAUGCUGACGAUUGACUUUGGGACACUAUUCCCAACACUUCGGCCAUGGGUCGGCUCUAGUCCACCAAUUUAUCACAUCACAUGGGCAAUCAGUCGGAAUCUUCACACUGACGCCUAAAAUGUGAUCAUAUCGCCCAUGACUAACAACCUAAUUAGCAGGUGGGUAUCCUACCUUGAUAACCUACCAGUCAAGGUAUAACAAACUCAGGCAUCUCUCUAUAUAUAAAG
This 239-nucleotide long non-coding RNA is filed under the name Elaeis guineensis (African oil palm). Its description in RNAcentral is "long non-coding RNA (EGUI_LNC016227)". Lineage: Eukaryota; Viridiplantae; Streptophyta; Magnoliopsida; Arecales; Arecaceae. The record is from RNAcentral.